Molecule: transfer RNA, 85 nt
Filed under: synthetic construct
Description: tRNA-OTHER
Rfam family: tRNA
About the family: Transfer RNA (tRNA) molecules are approximately 80 nucleotides in length. Their secondary structure includes four short double-helical elements and three loops (D, anti-codon, and T loops).
Source: RNAcentral
GGUGGGGUUCCCGAGCGGCCAAAGGGAGCAGACUCUAAAUCUGCCGUCAUCGACUUCGAAGGUUCGAAUCCUUCCCCCACCAUUU